UACAGAGGUCCCAAGCGUUGUCCGGAUUCACUGGGCGUAAAGGGCGCGUAGGCGGCCGGGUCAGUCGGGCCUGUAAGUGCGGGGCUCAACCCCGUGAUGGGCUCGGGACGGCCCGGCUGGGGCGCGGUCGAGGGAGACGGAAUGCCGGGUGUAGUGGUGAAAUGCGUAGAGAUCGGCAGGAACACCCAGGGGGAAACCAGCCGACUGGGCAUCUACUGACGCUGAGGUGCGAGAGCGUGGGGAGCGAACCGG
RNAcentral lists this ribosomal RNA (252 nucleotides) under uncultured bacterium. Its description in RNAcentral is "partial 16S ribosomal RNA". It matches the Rfam family "Bacterial small subunit ribosomal RNA", at positions 524 to 776 of the family's 1533-position model. The record is from RNAcentral.